GAGAGAGAGAGAGAGAGAAGGGCAGCUUGCUGAUACAGUUAGGCACCUUGGCAUAAUUGGGAAGUAGUUUCUGCAGUUUUUCUUUGUCACACAGCAGCUUAAUUUCACCUAGACCUGUUACAUUAUUAUGUAUUAUCGUGUGUUAAAAGAGCAUCAGUGACGUCUGAUGAUUGAUGGUCUUAAGGAAGUUGUCAUCACACCAAUUGAGGUAUAAAGUCU
RNAcentral lists this unclassified non-coding RNA (219 nucleotides) under Hevea brasiliensis (rubber tree). Lineage: Eukaryota; Viridiplantae; Streptophyta; Magnoliopsida; Malpighiales; Euphorbiaceae. The record is from RNAcentral.